RNAcentral lists this ribosomal RNA (459 nucleotides) under uncultured bacterium. RNAcentral describes it as "partial 16S ribosomal RNA". It matches the Rfam family "Bacterial small subunit ribosomal RNA", at positions 338 to 795 of the family's 1533-position model. The record is from RNAcentral.
CCUACGGGUGGCAGCAGUGAGGAAUAUUGGUCAAUGGACGAGAGUCUGAACCAGCCAAGUAGCGUGAAGGAUGACUGCCCUAUGGGUUGUAAACUUCUUUUAUAUGGGAAUAAAAUGUUCCACGUGUGGGAUUUUGUAUGUACCCUAUGAAUAAGCAUCGGCUAACUCCGUGCCAGCAGCCGCGGUAAUACGGAGGAUGCGAGCGUUAUCCGGAUUUAUUGGGUUUAAAGGGUGCGCAGGCGGAUUUUGAAGUCAGCGGUCAAAUCGUGGGGCUCAACCCCAUCCAGCCGUUGAAACUGGGGGCCUUGAGUGCGGCGGAGGCAUGCGGAAGGCGCGGUGUAGCGGUGAAAUGCAUAGAUAUCGCGCAGAACCCCGAUUGCGAAGGCAGCGUGCCGUGCCGCCACUGACGCUGAGGCACGAAAGCGCGGGGAUCGAACAGGAUUAGAUACCCGAGUAGUC